This 253-nucleotide ribosomal RNA is filed under the name uncultured bacterium. RNAcentral describes it as "partial 16S ribosomal RNA". It matches the Rfam family "Bacterial small subunit ribosomal RNA", at positions 524 to 776 of the family's 1533-position model. The record is from RNAcentral.
GACAGAGGAUGCAAGCGUUAUCCGGAAUGAUUGGGCGUAAAGCGUCUGUAGGUGGCCUUUCAAGUCUGCCGUCAAAUCCCAGGGCUCAACCCUGGACAGGCGGUGGAAACUACCAAGCUGGAGUACGGUAGGGGAUACUGGAAUUCCUGGUGUAGCGGUGAAAUGCGCAGAUAUCAGGAGGAACACCGGUGGCGAAGGCGGGUCUCUGGGCCGAUACUGACGCUGAGGCACGAAGGUCAGGGGAGCAAACGGG